This 2900-nucleotide ribosomal RNA is filed under the name Klebsiella pneumoniae. RNAcentral describes it as "bacterial LSU rRNA". It matches the Rfam family "Bacterial large subunit ribosomal RNA". Lineage: Bacteria; Pseudomonadati; Pseudomonadota; Gammaproteobacteria; Enterobacterales; Enterobacteriaceae. The record is from RNAcentral. RNAcentral also lists the same sequence under 1 other name.
UUAAGCGACUAAGCGUACACGGUGGAUGCCCUGGCAGUCAGAGGCGAUGAAGGACGUGCUAAUCUGCGAAAAGCGUCGGUAAGGUGAUAUGAACCGUUAUAACCGGCGAUGUCCGAAUGGGGAAACCCAGUGCAAUUCGUUGCACUAUCGUUAACUGAAUACAUAGGUUAACGAGGCGAACCGGGGGAACUGAAACAUCUAAGUACCCCGAGGAAAAGAAAUCAACCGAGAUUCCCCCAGUAGCGGCGAGCGAACGGGGAGCAGCCCAGAGUCUGAAUCAGCUUGUGUGUUAGUGGAACGGUCUGGAAAGUCCGACGGUACAGGGUGAUAGUCCCGUACACCAAAAUGCACAGGUUGUGAACUCGAAGAGUAGGGCGGGACACGUGGUAUCCUGUCUGAAUAUGGGGGGACCAUCCUCCAAGGCUAAAUACUCCUGACUGACCGAUAGUGAACCAGUACCGUGAGGGAAAGGCGAAAAGAACCCCGGCGAGGGGAGUGAAAAAGAACCUGAAACCGUGUACGUACAAGCAGUGGGAGCACCUUCGGGUGUGACUGCGUACCUUUUGUAUAAUGGGUCAGCGACUUAUAUUCUGUAGCAAGGUUAACCGUAUAGGGGAGCCGCAGGGAAACCGAGUCUUAACUGGGCGUUAAGUUGCAGGGUAUAGACCCGAAACCCGGUGAUCUAGCCAUGGGCAGGUUGAAGGUUGGGUAACACUAACUGGAGGACCGAACCGACUAAUGUUGAAAAAUUAGCGGAUGACUUGUGGCUGGGGGUGAAAGGCCAAUCAAACCGGGAGAUAGCUGGUUCUCCCCGAAAGCUAUUUAGGUAGCGCCUCGUGAAUUCAUCUUCGGGGGUAGAGCACUGUUUCGGCUAGGGGGUCAUCCCGACUUACCAACCCGAUGCAAACUACGAAUACCGAAGAAUGUUAUCACGGGAGACACACGGCGGGUGCUAACGUCCGUCGUGAAGAGGGAAACAACCCAGACCGCCAGCUAAGGUCCCAAAGUCAUGGUUAAGUGGGAAACGAUGUGGGAAGGCACAGACAGCCAGGAUGUUGGCUUAGAAGCAGCCAUCAUUUAAAGAAAGCGUAAUAGCUCACUGGUCGAGUCGGCCUGCGCGGAAGAUGUAACGGGGCUAAACCAUGCACCGAAGCUGCGGCAGCGACACUAUGUGUUGUUGGGUAGGGGAGCGUUCUGUAAGCCUGCGAAGGUGUGCUGUGAGGCAUGCUGGAGGUAUCAGAAGUGCGAAUGCUGACAUAAGUAACGAUAAAGCGGGUGAAAAGCCCGCUCGCCGGAAGACCAAGGGUUCCUGUCCAACGUUAAUCGGGGCAGGGUGAGUCGACCCCUAAGGCGAGGCCGAAAGGCGUAGUCGAUGGGAAACAGGUUAAUAUUCCUGUACUUGGUGUUACUGCGAAGGGGGGACGGAGAAGGCUAUGUUAGCCGGGCGACGGUUGUCCCGGUUUAAGCAUGUAGGCUGAUUGUCCAGGCAAAUCCGGAUAAUCAAGGCUGAGGUGUGAUGACGAGGCACUACGGUGCUGAAGUAACAAAUGCCCUGCUUCCAGGAAAAGCCUCUAAGCAUCAGGUAACAUCAAAUCGUACCCCAAACCGACACAGGUGGUCAGGUAGAGAAUACCAAGGCGCUUGAGAGAACUCGGGUGAAGGAACUAGGCAAAAUGGUGCCGUAACUUCGGGAGAAGGCACGCUGGUGUGUAGGUGAAGUCCCUGCGGAUGGAGCUGAGACCAGUCGAAGAUACCAGCUGGCUGCAACUGUUUAUUAAAAACACAGCACUGUGCAAACACGAAAGUGGACGUAUACGGUGUGACGCCUGCCCGGUGCCGGAAGGUUAAUUGAUGGGGUUAUCCGUAAGGAGAAGCUCUUGAUCGAAGCCCCGGUAAACGGCGGCCGUAACUAUAACGGUCCUAAGGUAGCGAAAUUCCUUGUCGGGUAAGUUCCGACCUGCACGAAUGGCGUAAUGAUGGCCAGGCUGUCUCCACCCGAGACUCAGUGAAAUUGAACUCGCUGUGAAGAUGCAGUGUACCCGCGGCAAGACGGAAAGACCCCGUGAACCUUUACUAUAGCUUGACACUGAACAUUGAGCCUUGAUGUGUAGGAUAGGUGGGAGGCUUUGAAGCGUGGACGCCAGUCUGCGUGGAGCCAACCUUGAAAUACCACCCUUUAAUGUUUGAUGUUCUAACGUUGGCCCCUUACCGGGGUUGCGGACAGUGUCUGGUGGGUAGUUUGACUGGGGCGGUCUCCUCCCAAAGCGUAACGGAGGAGCACGAAGGUUAGCUAAUCCUGGUCGGACAUCAGGAGGUUAGUGCAAUGGCAUAAGCUAGCUUGACUGCGAGCGUGACGGCGCGAGCAGGUGCGAAAGCAGGUCAUAGUGAUCCGGUGGUUCUGAAUGGAAGGGCCAUCGCUCAACGGAUAAAAGGUACUCCGGGGAUAACAGGCUGAUACCGCCCAAGAGUUCAUAUCGACGGCGGUGUUUGGCACCUCGAUGUCGGCUCAUCACAUCCUGGGGCUGAAGUAGGUCCCAAGGGUAUGGCUGUUCGCCAUUUAAAGUGGUACGCGAGCUGGGUUUAGAACGUCGUGAGACAGUUCGGUCCCUAUCUGCCGUGGGCGCUGGAGAAUUGAGGGGGGCUGCUCCUAGUACGAGAGGACCGGAGUGGACGCAUCACUGGUGUUCGGGUUGUCAUGCCAAUGGCACUGCCCGGUAGCUAAAUGCGGAAGAGAUAAGUGCUGAAAGCAUCUAAGCACGAAACUUGCCCCGAGAUGAGUUCUCCCUGAGACUUUAAGUCUCCUGAAGGAACGUUGAAGACGACGACGUUGAUAGGCCGGGUGUGUAAGCGCAGCGAUGCGUUGAGCUAACCGGUACUAAUGAACCGUGAGGCUUAACCUU